Molecule: small nuclear RNA, 102 nt
Filed under: Macaca nemestrina (pig-tailed macaque)
Lineage: Eukaryota; Metazoa; Chordata; Mammalia; Primates; Cercopithecidae
Source: RNAcentral
GUGGUCGCUUUGAUAGCAUAUAUACUAAAAUUGGAAUGAUACAGAUUAACAUGGCUCCUCUGCAAAGGUAACAUGCAAAUUUGUGAAGCACUCCAUAUUUUU